AAUAUGUAGCCUCUAGCCUCUUGG
RNAcentral lists this small RNA (24 nucleotides) under Vibrio cholerae O1 biovar El Tor str. N16961. The record is from RNAcentral. Lineage: Bacteria; Pseudomonadati; Pseudomonadota; Gammaproteobacteria; Vibrionales; Vibrionaceae.